GGGGGCGUAGCUCAAAUGGCAGAGCGCUCGCUUAGCAUGCGAGAGGUACCGGCAUCGAUACCCGGCGCUUCCA
RNAcentral lists this transfer RNA (73 nucleotides) under Nitrospinota bacterium. Its description in RNAcentral is "tRNA-Ala". It matches the Rfam family "tRNA". From Rfam's summary of the family: Transfer RNA (tRNA) molecules are approximately 80 nucleotides in length. Their secondary structure includes four short double-helical elements and three loops (D, anti-codon, and T loops). The record is from RNAcentral. Lineage: Bacteria; Pseudomonadati; Nitrospinota.